CAAAACCCAAACCGAGAGGAAAACGGAGGAAGAACGCAUGUACCUUGCUCAAAGGAAGAUGUUCACCGAAACUUGCCAUUUCGAACACCGAGAACGAAAACCAAGAGCGAGAACGAUAACGAAAAUGGAGAAAGAGAGAGAAGGAAAAACACAGAGGGAGAAGGAAAACAGAGAGAACCAAAACGAAGAGGGAGAAGGAAAACGAAGAGAGAGAACCUUCAUUUCUAAUGAAACAAGGCAAAGGUAAACUUGGAAUUCCAACUUUCUGAAACCCUCUUCAUUUUCAAAGACAAAUUCUAUCAAUAAAACUAAAAUAAAAAUGGACCAAUGAAAUGCUAACUACUGGCAUUGCCAAAGUUUAUUAAAAAAGGAUUGUCAAAAUAACGGGUUUCAUAUAUAUAUAUAUAUAUA
RNAcentral lists this long non-coding RNA (411 nucleotides) under Vigna radiata. RNAcentral's name for it is "long non-coding RNA (VRAD_LNC013756)". Lineage: Eukaryota; Viridiplantae; Streptophyta; Magnoliopsida; Fabales; Fabaceae. The record is from RNAcentral.